Non-coding RNA from Cicer arietinum (chickpea), 79 nucleotides. Lineage: Eukaryota; Viridiplantae; Streptophyta; Magnoliopsida; Fabales; Fabaceae. The record is from Rfam.
UUUGGGAAAUGAUGUUAAUAAUGCCGACAGAAACAUUAGCUCUGCUGAAUUAUUAUUUGCACGUCAGUCUGAUCCUAAA